This 72-nucleotide transfer RNA is filed under the name Phrynosoma platyrhinos (Desert horned lizard). RNAcentral's name for it is "tRNA-OTHER". The record is from RNAcentral. Lineage: Eukaryota; Metazoa; Chordata; Lepidosauria; Squamata; Phrynosomatidae.
GCCAGUGUGGCAUAGUGGUUUGAGUGCUGGACUAUGACUUUGGAGACAAGGGUUCAAUUCCCAACUCGGCCA